CAGAGUUCUUUCGCAACUCCCAACCCUGUGAACUUUAUCUCUUGUUGUUGCUUCUGGCAGGCGGCCCCCCCGGGUGGCCUGCCAGCAGCGACCUGCUUCAAACCUUCUUUUGUAUCCUAACCGUCUGAGUCGAAAAAAAAAAAUCAAUCA
RNAcentral lists this unclassified non-coding RNA (150 nucleotides) under uncultured Ophiostomatales. RNAcentral's name for it is "sequence contains ITS1". Lineage: Eukaryota; Fungi; Ascomycota; Sordariomycetes; Ophiostomatales. The record is from RNAcentral.